Phragmites australis (common reed) is the source of this 2235-nucleotide long non-coding RNA. RefSeq lists it as uncharacterized. The transcript is spliced from 3 exons. The record is from RefSeq and is a predicted model, not a curated record. NCBI's taxonomy places the organism in Eukaryota, Viridiplantae, Streptophyta, Magnoliopsida, Poales, Poaceae.
CCGCCUCCCAGCCUUCGAGGAGCUGCACGAACCGCCUUUGCUCCGUAGUUGCAAAGCCUCGCCGCUAACGCCACCUUUGCUCUGCCCUUUCGGACCGCUGCCGCUACUUCGUUGGACUCUGGCCUCCGCGCGCCCUCGCUAUCACCAUCACCACCGCAUUCGCUCCAUGCGCCACCGCUGCCACCGCCUACAGAUCGGAAUCGUGGAGCACUAAGUCCGACGCCACCAAGCGGCAGCGGAAGGUAGCGGCGGUGCCGCUGAGUGACGUUACCAACCUCCUCACCGGCACCCCGACUCCAAUCGAACCUAGGAGAACCAGAUGUCAGCCCCUUCCUCCGCUCUCCGACGCCUCCGCCUCCUCCUUGACCUGCUCCUCCACCGCCGUCCACAAGGAAGAGAGCAGUGUGGUCAAAUCGCCGGCCAUCUCCACGGUUUAGAAAAGGCGCGGGACUACUGAGGCCAUGGCUAAUACUACUUAAAUCUUCUGAAUAUUCAUGCUGCUUUCCUCGAGGCUAAUCUCAUACCAUUGCGUUGGACUUGCCAUUCGUUAUUUCGAAGCUCAGAAGCAAGCUAACGAUGACCCCUUUUUCCGUUCUUUGUUCCUCCAAUUAUGCAAUUAUGCGCCAACGAACUGAUUAACUGGCUCGACAAUUCUUUUCUUCGGACUGAAGGACCUCCAGUUUGCAUAAACCAUAAUUUGCCACGUUACAUAAACAAGUGAGAUUGCUUUACUUACAUUGGUCGUAGUACACUGUUACCUGUGUUUGGUUAGAUCAAUUCAGCCCCUACAGUGGUAGCAUCUCCCCGUUGUGCAAUUGAUAUUGUGUUUCGCAUACAGUUAGCUUGUUGUGUGACCUCGGGAAAGUGACCAUAGGGUUUAGACCAAUCAUCAUUGUGUUUAGUUUGUGUGGAAACCGGAUUCAGUUCAAAGGCACUUCUUAUUAACGACAGUUCAAGUCAUUACCCUUUAAGACCGAUCCAAAAUAUUUCCAUUUUCAGAUGUUGGAACCACUAUGAUAUUCUUUAGUAGUGCUUUUAGUAGAUUGCCAUAUAUAUUAGAGAAAUAUGUGCUAAGUCCUUCACAUUUCCAAGAGAAUAUAGUUAUCACAUCAUAUAUUGUGUGUCUAUGUCAGAACUGACAAAUACAUGAUACUUCAAGCUUUAGGAGUUCUGUAAUGUAGUUCAGUUUUUCAUCCAAGGGCCCUAGUUAAUAGCUAAUGGUUACAGUCUGGUUGCAUUUCAUUUUACUGAAAUACUGAAUCACACGUUGCUUACAGGAAAACAUCCAUGGCUCAGGAUGCUCGGCCCAUUUCUUAUUCAGCUCAUUGUCACAAAACUAAAAAGUUGCCACGUCUGGACGGUUGCUUCUGCAUUGUCAACAUCAAUGCUGACUGCAGGUACCGUUGAUCUUUCUUUGCCUUUCGAUUUCAUGAUAGUUUGUUAGAAUGAUUGUACGUACAACGUGUGGUGUUAAUUGGGAUUCAACACUUCAACCAUUUGGUGUCAUAAUUCUUGAUCUGCACUUCAUCCAGUUCAACUAAAUUCCAGCUAAUGCAAAGUAAUGUCAAAAUAUUUUGCUUUGAUAUCUGAAAAAUGCAUACCUCACAGUUCUACUUUGGAGAUCACUUUCGCAUCUAAGCUCUUUAGCUCUUUCUCAAAAUAUAUUACUUAAUUUUUUUAAAUGAUGCAACUACAUAUUGCCUGGUAAAUUUUCAGUUGCCAAUUAGGAUUAUAAAGGGAAAGUCCAUGUUGAAAGCCAAGAAUAAAAAAUAAAAAAUCCUUUGUCCCAAAUGUCAGGAUUUUGUUAUCUUCCUUGUUCUAUUAGAAAAAUAAGCUACAUUGCCCCUGCUGAUCAGUACAAUUUGCCGAUUAGCAAUAAAUACAUUAUGUGUACCCACUUCAUGGUAUAUUCUGAGUAUAACAUCAUUCUACUUAUCCUGCUAUGUAUCUAUUAUAUGAGCUGGAUGCGGUACUGCAUGGAUUCAAGACUAUAUAACUUUAAAAAAGAAGGAAAUAGGCUCAAAAUGCUUAUUUAUAUGCAUGUGCAGUUUGUUAUAUUUCAUUUUCUGUUGUAUAGCUAUUUGAUAUCUCAUAAUCAUAUGUCAUGUUGUUAUAUGAGACUUACAAGCUAUUGUGUUGAUGAUUUUUGUUUUCUUAGCCUAUGCAGUUGAUUUUUGCUGGAUAUAGAUGCACUCAGAGGUGGUUUUGUACACCUUGUGCAGUAGGUCCUCAGCU